Molecule: ribosomal RNA, 253 nt
Filed under: uncultured bacterium
Lineage: Bacteria
Description: partial 16S ribosomal RNA
Rfam family: Bacterial small subunit ribosomal RNA
Source: RNAcentral
UACGAAGGGGGCUAGCGUUGCUCGGAAUUACUGGGCGUAAAGGGCGCGUAGGCGGACAGUUUAGUCAGAGGUAAAAGCCCAGGGCUCAACCUUGGAACUGCCUUUGAUACUGGCUGUCUUGAGUUCGGGAGAGGUGAGUGGAACUCCGAGUGUAGAGGUGAAAUUCGUAGAUAUUCGGAAGAACACCAGUGGCGAAGGCGACUCACUGGCCCGAUACUGACGCUGAGGCGCGAAAGCGUGGGGAGCAAACAGG